Molecule: long non-coding RNA, 602 nt
Filed under: Chinchilla lanigera (long-tailed chinchilla)
Lineage: Eukaryota; Metazoa; Chordata; Mammalia; Rodentia; Chinchillidae
Description: lncRNA (ENSCLAG00000028715.1)
Source: RNAcentral
AACAGGUUAGCCAUUCAUAAAGACUGUGACAUUUCUUUUAAUUUUUAUUAUGAUUGGGUAAAGCACGCAAUGAAGAAAAGUGAGUAUAUGGAAAUGGGAAAAGAAACCAAGAAAAUAAAUAUCGGAGAUAAAAGACAAACAUAGAAGCAUCAAGUUAUGGUCCUGAGCAAUGGUUUGUUUGCUCCCUGAUGAAGAGUCGUAAGGUCAGGUCACCGUACUAAAGGCUCUGGUCUCCGUGCUGGGCCCUGUUUUCUGCUUCUAUAAGACAGCGACCAGCUGUGAUGACAGAUAGGGACACGGUGACCUCAGCAUUCACAUCUGGCAGGUCUCACGCUCCUGGACUCAUGCGAUUCUCUUGCCUCAGCCUCCCAAGUGCCGAGACUACAGCCUCCCAUUGGUAGAAACCAAGCAGAGGCAAAGUCCCCAGGGGCGCGGGCCUCAGUCACCUCGGCAGCACGGAGCAGGGUGCCGAGGAACCAGGCGGCACAAGCGGAGAUGGCCAGGUCCCCGCCCUCUUCACUCCCGUCCGUGGAGCGCCUGGCAGCUCUUCAGACUAAGCAUCUCCACAAUUGUGCAGUCAUUCUUUUCUAAUGAAAUAAAAC